AUGGCUAACAGGAAAAGAACUAGCACAGAUAACCAAGUUUUCAUGCUAACUUGUUAAGGUUAAAACAACCAUAAUACACUUCACAUUAUGACAAACUACAUGUUGUACAUUAGUUCAUACAUAUUUCGUGACAGUUUGGUCGUAAUUAUAUCAAAAGAAAGUGACAUUAACUGGGAAAAGGAGCGGGAGAAGCAUUUUCAACCUACCAUUAAUUUCAUCAGCAUGAAACAGUCGGGGGAAAUGGUGUGCACAAAUAAUACAGCAGCUAGGGUGCAAUACCGUCAUCCAACCACACGAUUUCUGUCAAGUACCUCUGAAUGAAAGCUGUCAAUAUGAAUAAUUGAAACUAUAAGACAUAUUCAAACAUGAACUCAGUAACAUGUAUUCAAAGCUUAUGAAACAAAUUUUGGCGAACUUAAAACAGGAUAUAUUUUCUUUUUCUGUUACACGUACAAGGUGGGAGGCCAUAUAAAACACCAUGGAGUCUUCAGGAGGACCAUUCAUUCCCUCAACCCUUUUGACAACCAUCUACAUAUGAAAUGCUCUGGAGAGCCCUGACUUUGGCAACCCAAUUCUCUUUCGACCUAGUCGGGCACAAUUGCAACACUUCACAAGUUUAUCAUAUCAAAAUUAUCUUAUUUUCCACAACUUCCACAUAUCGACUUCUCCUACACAUACUUGACACAUGUCCAAAAGCCAUACAGUGAAUACAAUGCAUCGGUGCAUGGCACGAACGGUCUGUCAUGGUGAUUCACAUUACCCAAAUGCACCUGGUAGAGAGGGACUCCGUACAACAAAAGGGACUCCGUAAAACAAAAAAAAUAACAGACUCUUUACUUUCACUCCUUUCUCAACACGAUUCAUCCGACGUGCAUCAACCACUCCAGGGAUACUCUUCAUUUGUGCAACAACGACUUCCCACGAGAUGCCAUUUAUUACCCCCGUUACAGGUGCCCUACACUACAGCAACGCACGACAUGGCAUAUUUCUAGAAUCGGAUGUGCUCUUUCUGUUCCUCCGACUAACAACAGAAAUAAAAAAGGCCACUUCUCGUGGUCCUUGCAGCUUUGACUUUACCCGCCACUUCUUCCACCAGGUUGGGAUAUCAAAAUGGUUCCUCAGCCUCCCGGGUGGCACAGUGGGUCUAAGGCACUGCAUCGAAGUGCUAGCUGUGCCACCAGAGACUCUGGGUUCGAGCCCAGGCUCUGUCGCAGCCGGCCGCGACCGGGAGGUCCAUGGGGCGACGCGUAAUUGUCCUGGCGUCGUCCGGGUUAGGGAAGGCUUGGCAGGUAGGGUUAUAAUUGUCUCAUCGUGCACUAGCUACUCCUGUGGCGGGCAGGCGCAGUGCACGCUGACCAGGUCGCUAGGUGCACGGUGUUUCCUCUGACACAUUGGUGGCCGGGUUGGAUGCGCGCUGUGUUAAGAAGCAGUGCAGCUUCGUUGGGUUGUGUUUCGGAGGACG
Molecule: long non-coding RNA, 1462 nt
Filed under: Oncorhynchus kisutch (coho salmon)
Lineage: Eukaryota; Metazoa; Chordata; Actinopteri; Salmoniformes; Salmonidae
Description: lncRNA (ENSOKIG00005049686.1)
Source: RNAcentral